UACGAAGGGUGCCAACGUUGCUCGGCAUUAUUGGGCGUAAAGCGCACGUAGGCGGCUUGGCAAGUCGGAUGUGAAAUCCCUCGGCUCAACCAAGGAAGUGCAUCCGAAACUGCUGAGCUUGAGUACUUAAGAGGAUCGCGGAAUUCCCGGUGUAGAGGUGAAAUUCGUAGAUAUCGGGAGGAACACCAGUGGCGAAGGCGGCGAUCUGGGAAGAUACUGACGCUGAGGUGCGAAAGCGUGGGGAGCAAACAGG
RNAcentral lists this ribosomal RNA (253 nucleotides) under uncultured bacterium. RNAcentral describes it as "partial 16S ribosomal RNA". It matches the Rfam family "Bacterial small subunit ribosomal RNA", at positions 524 to 776 of the family's 1533-position model. The record is from RNAcentral.